This 72-nucleotide transfer RNA is filed under the name Callorhinchus milii (elephant shark). RNAcentral describes it as "tRNA-Glu (TTC) (tRNA-Glu-TTC-10-1)". It matches the Rfam family "tRNA". Rfam says of the family: Transfer RNA (tRNA) molecules are approximately 80 nucleotides in length. Their secondary structure includes four short double-helical elements and three loops (D, anti-codon, and T loops). The record is from Rfam by way of RNAcentral. Lineage: Eukaryota; Metazoa; Chordata; Chondrichthyes; Chimaeriformes; Callorhinchidae.
UCCCUGAUGGACUAGUGGUUAGGAUUCGACGCUUUCACCGCUGCGGUCCGGGUUCGAUUCCCGGUCAGGGAA